Molecule: unclassified non-coding RNA, 309 nt
Filed under: plant metagenome
Description: partial contains 5.8S ribosomal RNA, internal transcribed spacer 2, and large subunit ribosomal RNA
Rfam family: 5.8S ribosomal RNA (bases 1-105)
Source: RNAcentral
GAAAUGCGAUAAGUAAUGUGAAUUGCAGAAUUCAGUGAAUCAUCGAAUCUUUGAACGCACAUUGCGCCCGCCAGUAUUCUGGCGGGCAUGCCUGUUCGAGCGUCAUUUCAACCAUCAAGCCCCCGGGCUUGGGUUGGGGACCUGCGGCUGCCGCAGGCCCCGAAAACCAGUGGCGGGCUCGCUGUCACACCGGGCGUAGUAGAUUUUUCGUCUCGCCCAGGGCGUGCUGCGGGUUCCGGCCGUUAAAAAGCCUCUCUUUUAACCCAAGGUUGACCUCGGAUCAGGUAGGAAGACCCGCUGAACUUAAGC